RNAcentral lists this long non-coding RNA (1180 nucleotides) under Mytilus galloprovincialis (Mediterranean mussel). The record is from RNAcentral. Lineage: Eukaryota; Metazoa; Mollusca; Bivalvia; Mytilida; Mytilidae.
GCGCGAACGGACCCGGAUUCAUUUACAGACCCCACAUUGAUAGAAUUUCCGAUUUCUGUGAUAUAUCAUAUAACGAGUCUUAUGAUAACAUGCCACUUUGAUAUAAAAUUUGAACGAAAAAUUUUUACGAUUUUAAAGCCGGAGGGGGGAGGGGGUCGGAACAGAGACAUACUAUACAUAUUUAAAAUACUAAAUUCCUCAUCGAGACCACUGUGAUAUACCUGACUUAGGUUGGGGGACUAAAGACAAGUAUAUAUAUUGUAAAUAAAACGAAGAGAUUUCAAUUUAUGAUCCUUUUACUUUGGAUUCAAACGCCAAAAGAGGCUGAUACAUGUAAUCUUCACAACAAUGGGCCAUUCCAGUUAAUUUCUGACAGGUGGGGAUGGAUGGGGAGAAUUUUGUUUAUACCAGAGACAUAUAUAUGUCUCUGUUUAUACGUAUCAGAAAAAAACGUCAUGAAAAACUACCUAUCAGAUCUAAGAAUUAAGACCUAUCAGAUGUAGAGUUUCUGUUCAUAUUGGGUGGAUGGGCUUUCAUGGGAAAAAAUGACCUAUCAGAACUUUUUACUGCAAGGAUUGUACCCAUUAGAAUUUUAAAUACAAUACCAGAUAAUGCAUUAUACGUAUCUGUCUACAUUCAAAAGCACCCCUAAGAUCUGACAUAGGAAUUUUUGUAACCCCUAAGAUGUAAUUAUUUUAAAUUAUUUACUUCUGUGUGACGGGAUUGCUUCCCUUAGAACAUUUGGUAGAUACUUAGUCAGCCGUAAGCGGAUGAGCUAAGGAAGUACUUCUUUAGCUCAGUCGGUUAGCGCGCUGCCUUGUAACACAGAGGUCCAGGGUUCGAGUCCCGGUGGAGACAAGCAAUUUUGUAAUGAAAUUCGUGCUCUCCGGUUACAUUGGCGCCCAACUAAAAAACCCACGAUAGUUAGAAAGGAAUUCUAGCUAGGGUAUGUUUGUGUGAGAGUCAUAAUGGUAUGAUGACUCUUGAGGUGGGGGAAGUGUGACGGGAUUGCUUCCCUUAGAACAUUUGGUAGAUACUUAGUCAGCCGUAAGCGGUUGAGCUAAGGAAGUACUUCUUUAGCUCAGUCGGUUAGCGCGCUGCCUUGUAACACAGAGGUCCCGGGUUCGAGUCCCGGUGGAGACAAGCAAUUUUGUAAUGAAAUUCGUGCUCUCCGGUUACA